RNAcentral lists this ribosomal RNA (442 nucleotides) under uncultured bacterium. RNAcentral's name for it is "partial 16S ribosomal RNA". It matches the Rfam family "Bacterial small subunit ribosomal RNA", at positions 338 to 795 of the family's 1533-position model. The record is from RNAcentral.
CCUACGGGAGGCAGCAGUGGGGAAUAUUGGGCAAUGGACGCAAGUCUGACCCAGCAACGCCGCGUGAAGGAAGAAGGCUUUCGGGUUGUAAACUUCUUUUAAGGGGGAAGAGCAGAAGACGGUACCCCUUGAAUAAGCCACGGCUAACUACGUGCCAGCAGCCGCGGUAAUACGUAGGUGGCAAGCGUUGUCCGGAUUUACUGGGUGUAAAGGGCGUGCAGCCGGGAAGACAAGUCAGAUGUGAAAUCCCGCGGCUCAACCGCGGAACUGCAUUUGAAACUGUUUUUCUUGAGUAUCGGAGAGGUGAUCGGAAUUCCUAGUGUAGCGGUGAAAUGCAUAGAUAUCACGAAGAACCCCGAUUGCGAAGGCAGCCUUCCGGCGCCCUACUGACGCUGAGGCACGAAAGUGCGGGGAUCGAACAGGAUUAGAUACCCGUGUAGUC